AUACGGAGGGUGCAAGCGUUAUUCGGAAUCACUGGGCGUAAAGGGCGCGUAGGCGGAAUGGUAAGUCAGUGGUGAAAAUCCAGGGCUCAACCCUGGACCUGCCUUUGAUACUGCCAUUCUUGAGUGCGAGAGAGGAAAGUGGAAUUCCCGGUGUAGCGGUGAAAUGCGUAGAUAUCGGGAAGAACACCGGUAGCGAAGGCGGCUUUCUGGCUCGCAACUGACGCUGAGGCGCGAAAGCGUGGGGAGCAAACAGGAUUAGAAACCCCGGUAGUCC
This 274-nucleotide ribosomal RNA is filed under the name uncultured bacterium. RNAcentral describes it as "partial 16S ribosomal RNA". It matches the Rfam family "Bacterial small subunit ribosomal RNA", at positions 523 to 796 of the family's 1533-position model. The record is from RNAcentral.